AACCCAUGGUGAGGUUACCUUAUCAGUAAGUCCUUAUAUCUCUCCCAUGCAUCGUAAAGUGUAUCUAAAUCUAUCUGCACAAAAGAAGAGAUAUCAUUACACAAUUU
This 107-nucleotide small nucleolar RNA is filed under the name Gossypium hirsutum (cotton). RNAcentral's name for it is "Plant small nucleolar RNA R71". It matches the Rfam family "Plant small nucleolar RNA R71". From Rfam's summary of the family: R71 is a member of the C/D box family of snoRNAs containing the C (UGAUGA) and D (CUGA) box motifs. Multiple nearly identical copies of this snoRNA have been identified in Arabidopsis, and it is thought to function as a 2'-O-ribose methylation guide for 18S ribosomal RNA. The record is from Rfam by way of RNAcentral. Lineage: Eukaryota; Viridiplantae; Streptophyta; Magnoliopsida; Malvales; Malvaceae.